Molecule: unclassified non-coding RNA, 58 nt
Filed under: Gallus gallus (chicken)
Lineage: Eukaryota; Metazoa; Chordata; Aves; Galliformes; Phasianidae
Source: RNAcentral
AGUGCAGUGAUCAUAAACCAAAGCUGAACAUGGAGCUCAGUGUGGUUUAUUGUAGAGG